Molecule: long non-coding RNA, 230 nt
Organism: Impatiens glandulifera
Lineage: Eukaryota; Viridiplantae; Streptophyta; Magnoliopsida; Ericales; Balsaminaceae
Exons: 2
Source: RefSeq, a predicted model, not a curated record
GGUGUUCGACGAAAUGCUCACAAGAACAUCUUUGUCUUCUGAUGGAUAUGCAACUUUUAAUUUUAUUGGGGUAUUGCGGCUGCUGACAAUAAUCAUGUUCAAAUUUUAUGAGGGAUUAAGAAGACGGGCAUAGCCCUUAUUUCCGAACUCAAGCUAAUGUCAAUAUAGGUAAAAAUUUCACUAUAUGUGAUAAUGUAAUUUUUUAAGGGUAUUUUUUUAUUAAUCUACAA